RNAcentral lists this ribosomal RNA (253 nucleotides) under uncultured bacterium. RNAcentral describes it as "partial 16S ribosomal RNA". It matches the Rfam family "Bacterial small subunit ribosomal RNA", at positions 524 to 776 of the family's 1533-position model. The record is from RNAcentral.
UACGUAGGGUGCGAGCGUUGUCCGGAAUUACUGGGCGUAAAGGGCUCGUAGGCGGCCAACUAAGUCAUACGUGAAAUCCCUCGGCUUAACCGGGGAACUGCGUCUGAUACUGGAUGGCUUGAGUUCGGGAGAGGGAUGCGGAAUUCCAGGUGUAGCGGUGAAAUGCGUAGAUAUCAGGAGGAACACCGGUGGUGUAGACGGCUUUCUGGACCGUAACUGACGCUGAAACACGAAAGCGUGGGUAGCAAACAGG